RNAcentral lists this transfer RNA (67 nucleotides) under Bos taurus (domestic cattle). It matches the Rfam family "tRNA". From Rfam's summary of the family: Transfer RNA (tRNA) molecules are approximately 80 nucleotides in length. Their secondary structure includes four short double-helical elements and three loops (D, anti-codon, and T loops). Further hydrogen bonds mediate the characteristic L-shaped molecular structure. tRNAs have two regions of fundamental functional importance: the anti-codon, which is responsible for specific mRNA codon recognition, and the 3' end, to which the tRNAs corresponding amino acid is attached (by aminoacyl-tRNA synthetases). tRNAs cope with the degeneracy of the genetic code in two manners: having more than one tRNA (with a specific anti-codon) for a particular amino acid; and 'wobble' base-pairing, i.e. permitting non-standard base-pairing at the 3rd anti-codon position. Lineage: Eukaryota; Metazoa; Chordata; Mammalia; Artiodactyla; Bovidae. RNAcentral also lists the same sequence under 2 other names. The record is from Rfam by way of RNAcentral.
GGCUCCUUGGCUCAGGGGUAAAGCAUCUGCCUGCAGUGCAGGAGACCGGGGUUCAGUCCCUGAGUCA